AUAAUAAGCAUUAUCCCACAGUUCUGCCUUUUAAUGUGGCAUAGCCAUAUUUGCUUAUAAUUUUUAUUCUACACAUAUCACUGCUUCUCAGUGUGUACAUACUGGGGAAGGGGGUCAUUUUGACCCAGAAGGAUUUUUGAAUCAUCAAAUAUUUUCAAAUCGAAGGUUUUUCUAGUCUAGCUUCAUUCAGAUGAGCGUUGUGCAUCGAAGUUCAAGUCCCAAGAGAUGUUAUCAGUCGGAACGGCCGAGUGAACAAAUAUUUGUGAACCUCCUUCCAAAUGAAAUGUUCUAUAGAAGGGUGGAAGUGGUAAGAGACCGUUGAAACAGUGGUUAAGAAGGUUAUAUUUAUUUGGCCAUCAGCUCGUCUCAUGGUCUGAAGGAUGAUGAUGAUGAGGAAGAGGAGGAAGAAGAGAAGAUGAGGAACUUUUCCAAAAUAGGCAGUUUAACUCAUAAUAGACCCAAUUUCUAAAUACGAGGUUGGACUACGUCAUCUCUAAACGCAACCACUGGUCUGAAAAUAUGAGCUGUGUCAUAGAUACGGAGAACAAACAGGUGGUUGCCAAAGGAUGGGGGGAUUGGGCAAAAGAGGUGAAGGGAAUUCAGGGCCCCAAACUUCCAGUUAUAACAUAAAAAAGUCACAGAGAUAUAAUGUAAAGUCAGGGGGAAAUACAGUCAAUAUUGCAAUAACUGUGUAUGGUGGCCAAUGGUCCCCAGAUUUACAAGUGUGGGAAUCAACUCGGGUAAUGUACACAAAUGUCAAAUCACUAUACUGUACUCAAAACUCAUGUAAGCCACUACAUUCGUGGUAAACCACUAGUGUAAAACUAGUGCACACCACCACUACACUGCCGUAGUGGUUGAGUUUCAAUAAAAGUUAUGUGCAUCAACUCUAUUUCAACAAAAAAUUAAAAGUAACAAAACAAGGUAACAUUAUGAGAUUCAUUACACCUGGGCUUUAAUUUCCAAUUUUGGUUUAAUAUGUAUGACCUAACUUUAAAAAUCAGUUUACAGACAGACUAUCCUAAGGGCAAACAGUCCAACAAGACUUGCUCCAAUUCAAAGAAAAUCUUGAUAAGCAUUUUUUUUUCCUUUGUGGUUAUUAUAAAGUAUUUAAGUUCAAUUUUUAAAAAAUCCACUAUAUUUGAUUGUCAUUAUUUGAGUCAACAUGUUUCAAGUUAUGUUUCAGAGCACGGUUAGUUGAAACAGCCCAGAUCUUACUCAUCAAAAGACUUGGAAUAUUCACAGAAACUCUGUCACUCAUUAUUUCUCAGAGUUUAAAGAAGUUUAUGAACAUCACUGAGAAUCUGUCUUUUCAGUUUUGAAAGGGAAGUUAUAAUACUGACUUUGAAGUAUCUUGGCCAGUGAAAAAAACGCUACACAUAUAAGUUAUCAAGUGAAAUUAAAAGCUAAAGAAAUAAUAGCUACUAUAAAUAAAAACAUUCACAUUUGUUUAUCUGUGCUCAUUUGUCUUAAUGUUACCAAAAUUUAUUUUUAAAUGUUUUAUUUUAAGAUGUUAUGUUCCUACAUUCCUAAAUCUAUCUCCAUUUUACAUUUUGUUAGGGCUUGCAUGCUAUUUCUUUUUUUUUUUUUUAAUUAAAGUAUAGUUGAUUGAC
Molecule: long non-coding RNA, 1613 nt
Filed under: Sus scrofa (pig)
Lineage: Eukaryota; Metazoa; Chordata; Mammalia; Artiodactyla; Suidae
Description: lncRNA (ENSSSCG00035053930.1)
Source: RNAcentral